CAGCGGGGGAAGUCCUGCUAGCGGUUCCCAGACCCGAGCCCUUUGCAUCCUCUCUGAGUCCCCCAUCUCCCCUUCAGAGCUCUCCCGUCGCCCUCGCGCCAAUCCCUACUCGCUUUUACCGCCUUCUAUCCCUCCACCCCCAGCAACGCUCAGCUCCCAAGCCUCUCCGCCGGCCUGCCCUGCGACCUCCGGUUCCCCGCUUACGGACCUCGGGGUCUCCGCUGCCACCGCCGCCGUCGCUGCCACCGCCUGCUGUGCCCAACCCGCCGCUCGCCUCUCUCUGCCGCGCCCUGGGACAGGCGCACGGAACUCGGCUCCGGCGGGCUCAGACCUCCCUGCUUGAUUCUCUCGCGCGGGGGUCUGUACUCCGCCGCCCGGGAUCUGCCCUGGAGUCGCUCUGUAGCCCCAGAGCUGCGGCGAGCGAGGUCUUGGCCGGGUUAGGGAGAAGCCACUGCGUUGCGCUCUGCCAAAAUGACCAUGGAGUUUCCGAUUAGGUCCACGACAAUGGUGAUAACCAUUGCGCAGAACAUAAAGAUGAUUAGAGCCGUGCAAACACCUGGCAAAGAGACAUAGAUUGCAGAGGGAGCGGGAGCAAGGGGUCUUUCAAAGGAUCUGGUUUCAGCCCAAGCCAGUCCGCAGCCCCCAGCAGGAUGUGGGGGACAGCCGGUGGCCCCUUAAACCCUAGAUGGUUGCCUCUGCAGUAUCCUUGUGAGAUCCAUCUCACACCCCAUGCCCUUGCCUGUCUAGAGCCUUCUGUGCCCCGCGGGGAACUGGGGACUACUGCUCGGAGCUCCCAACCCCAAUCUGGGUCCGUAAUCCCUAGGGAAGUUAUCCCAGCUCCUGUUCUCGCCAGGAGCCGCUUGGCUCCCUUACCGGCAGCCGGGAGGAGCCGCUUAUUCCGGUCCAGGUCUUGCACUCUCCAUAAAGAGAUGUACCCUGCGCCCAGCUCUGGAAGCAGGGAGCGGGUCUGCACCCUGGGACCCAGGGAAGGCAGCGGUGGCCACUCGGUCCUCAGCUUUGGGGCGAACGGGAGCGGAAGCUAGUCUCCUUCCCAGCUGCGGGCAGCCCAGCGGCGGGAGCCACGGGACGCUUUGGGAAAAAGUAAAGCAGGCAAUAAAGCUCUUUUAUUGGGCCCCCUCUUCUCGAGGAAACCCAGGACGAGAGGCUCUCACUCCGCUCCCCUCUCGAGGUGCGCUCUACUGAGCGGUACGGGGCAGUCAGGCAGGCUGAGGGAGCUGCGCUGCAGCUGUGGGAAUGGUGCGGAGGUGUCAGGCGGCAAAGCCAAUAAGCCGCUGGCUGACCGGCGACCCCUGCCUCAGUCAGGAUUCAUCUAGGUCUUUCCACUUUCCCAUCCCCUUCUGGGGUUCUCGUUUCGACCCCAUCCCUCUGAGGCCGCACCCAGCGCCCCGACCCCGCUGUCCACAAUGCGGAUCUCUGUUCCGGUGCGUCACGGUUACCCGGCGGUGCUCCCAGGAUCUCGCCGCACAGGGACCACGGAAAAUUCGAAUAUUUGGGCAAAACUAAAGGGGUGCGAUUCUGACACUCGUUCCUUCAACAACAAAAAUGCCCUUGGUCAUGGGAAAGCAUUUUUGCCGCCUGCUAAAAGUUAUGGCUACGGACGAGAAGCCUUCCAAAAUCUCAGUAAACACCUUGAAACUUGUUCCAGACUAGUCUUCUUGCCACAGUAGGGGACAGGGGGUUGCACUGGCCAGGAGCGCCAUCGUCUGGACACAGCCGCCCUCUUGCCCCGGGGUGGGUGGGGGGACGGACAAAGCAGGGUGGUAGGGGCCGGCUCCGCGACGGACUUCAACGUUAAACCCUUUAACGAAAAAAAAGAAAAACAGACACUGUUGAAAACCAAGAUUGCAAACACUGUCUCUAGCUAAAAAACCUAAAGUGGGAAUGUGUUCCCCUGUUUGAAAAUGAAGCCCCCUCCACAAUCCUGCGGCUUUCACUUCCUUGAACUGAAUCGGGCGCGAAUUACAAUGUCCAGCCUGGAGGCUUUUCACAUUCAUUAUCUCACUGCUCCUCGCUGGCUGG
Sapajus apella (tufted capuchin) is the source of this 2040-nucleotide long non-coding RNA. RefSeq lists it as uncharacterized. The record is from RefSeq and is a predicted model, not a curated record. The transcript is spliced from 3 exons. Lineage: Eukaryota; Metazoa; Chordata; Mammalia; Primates; Cebidae.